AAAUGAACAGAUUUAUUUCAGCACUGUUUUUGUUUGACAAGCUUUUAAUUCAGCAAGAUUAAUCACAAGAUCAUGCAGUGAAAAUUUUCAGCACCACACACACAGAUAUCUGUUUUGAAAAACAGUGAAACACAAAACUGCAAGCUUCAAUUUCAAGCAAGUGAUUAAGGUUCAAUUGAUAGCAUGCUGAUUAAUUGAGUGAUCUUUGCACACAAGCUGUUCCAGUGGCCUUUAACAGACUAUGAAUGUUCUUCUUGAUGUUAAGCAAUUUUCCAGAAAUUAAGAACACUUAAUCACAGAACAGCAAGCUUCAACUUGUAGCAAUUUGUUUAAGGUUCAAUUAAUGAUAUUGACAGUUUCUUGAUCAGCUUAUCACAAUCAAUCUGUUCCAAUGGUUUUAGCAGAUUAUGUAUGUUCUUAUCAGAUUACAACAGCUUUUUCAGAAAUCAAGAACAGUAUGCACAGUGCCCAGAAAGAACAGAUUUAUUUACAAUUGAACAGAUUUAUUUCUUUGCAGUUUUAUCAAUUAUGCAGAAACGAAAUUGCAGAGUGAGGGAGAGAAUGAACACAAACAAUUAUACUGGUUCACUCAACCUGAGCUACAUCCAGUCUUCACCAACAACAGGUGGAAUUCACU
Molecule: long non-coding RNA, 637 nt
Filed under: Phaseolus vulgaris (common bean)
Lineage: Eukaryota; Viridiplantae; Streptophyta; Magnoliopsida; Fabales; Fabaceae
Description: long non-coding RNA (PVUL_LNC002571)
Source: RNAcentral